GUCUACGACCAUGCCACCCUGAAUGUGCCCGAUCUCAUCUGAUCUUGAAAGCUAAGCAGGGUCGGGCCUGGUUAGGUCUUGGAUGGGAGACCACCUAAGAAGACCAGGUGCCAUAGGCA
Molecule: ribosomal RNA, 119 nt
Filed under: Pteropus vampyrus (large flying fox)
Lineage: Eukaryota; Metazoa; Chordata; Mammalia; Chiroptera; Pteropodidae
Source: RNAcentral